GGCACAUGAACUGUACAAUAAAAUUAAAGAGACAUUCCCUAGACCUAACUUCACCAAAAAAAUGAGACAAAGCACACUUAGUCAGCAAGAGGAAAGAAAAAAAGAUAGUAAACAAGCACCUAGCUCUGACUCAACAAAGAAAGACAAACAAGUUUAUUCAAUAGUUAAUCAUCUUGAACUCAAUGAUGAGAGAGAGAGAUAAGCAUCUAAGAUUAGAAGCUAAUUUUGCUGUGAAAAAGAGAGAGGACAAGGAGCCACCAUACUCAAGAACAACAGAAUAAGAAAUAUGAAGGGCUCUUAUUCUUUGUUACCAAAUCUCUGGGCAAUAAUAGGGCGGACAUCAUCAACAUCAACCAGGGUCUCCAAAAAUGGAAGCAGUGAAAUUAAAGCAGAAUCCAAUGGAUCAUCAAUCCAACUCUUGAUAGGAAUACCGUUGUUCACUUGUAAUCGGAAAACCUGUGGAUAAUUAUCUACAAUGACAACUUUUGCUAAAUCAAUGCCUAAAACUGUCAAAUCCUUGGUGUAGCAUCCAUCUGAAAAGAUGCAUGAUUCACGAUAAAGUCGACGUGAGAUGAUACAAUUAUCCGGGUCCAGUUUGUUGAGGACUUGUUCUGCGUAAAUACUUUGA
RNAcentral lists this unclassified non-coding RNA (628 nucleotides) under Hevea brasiliensis (rubber tree). The record is from RNAcentral. Lineage: Eukaryota; Viridiplantae; Streptophyta; Magnoliopsida; Malpighiales; Euphorbiaceae.